GUAAAGCGUUCAUGAAAUGAACACUGAUUGGUUGUCACAGAACUGAAGGGGAACAGAAACCAUUAACAUGCUGAAUCAAUGAAUUGCGAAGAAGAACAUUAGAAUUAUUAGGAAUUCUGUUUCCAACUAGAUUGAUUUAUACUGAAAUGGUUUCAGUUUAUUCUCCAGCGAGUUCACUGCAAGUUGAUUUCCUCCAUGGUAACCUUACCUCUUGUCAUCAGUUACUGCCGCCGGCUUCUUUCUCGUCCCCUUGCUGGAGCCACUUUCAGUUCCGGCCGUUCGCGGCGGGGCUAAAGAUUGGCGCCGAAGGCGGCGGGAAUCGGAGCAGUCGGGACGCUUACAGCUCGGAGCUGUUGAGGAGGCCGGUGAUUGAGCCGUUAUUGGACACCGCAGCGGAGGAGCCUGCUAAGGAGGAAUCGGACAAUGAGGUGGAGAGAAAGAGUGUGGAUGGGUGGGUUGAUUGGGAGGACGUGAUUUUGGAGGAAACGGCUCCGCUUGUCGGACUUGUUAGGAUGAUUCUCCAUUCUGGAAAGUACGAAGCUGGUGAUAGACUAAGCCCCAAACAUGAGAGUACUAUUCUAGAAAGGAUUCUUCCACAUCAUCCAGAGUAUGAAAUGAAGAUUGGGUGUGGUGUUGAUUAUAUUACGAUAGGAUACCACCCCAUUUUUGGAAACUCAAGAUGCUUAUUCAUAGUACGAAGGGAUGGAGAAUCGGUUGACUUUUCUUAUCAGAAGUGUAUAAAGGCUUUGAUCAGGAAAAACUACCCACUCUAUGCUGACAGCUUCAUUCUUAGGCACUUUCGGGGACGUAACAAGUUUAGGCAUGAUUGAAGAGAUGGUGUUUGGACUUUCUGCACGUGAUUACAGCACUGUCGAUAUAGUUGCUUCAUGGGCUAAUUACAUGAUUUUUCCUCUAUUUUGGAGUUCUAAAUUACUUGCCCUUGUCCACAAUCUAUCACUCAAGAACCAACUGAGCUGUCGGUACUGGCAAUUCCUAAUUGGAUUCCAGGUACUAUAACUUUCUCCAAUUCUCCCUUGUCCAUAUAGAGUUGACACUUGAUAGUUCCUUUAUUUUGGAGUUCUAGAUUAUUUGCCUUUGUACACAAUCUAUCACUUAAGAACCAACUGAGCUAUCAGUAU
Ipomoea triloba (trilobed morning glory) is the source of this 1139-nucleotide RNA transcript. It is a transcript of the gene named protein DCL, chloroplastic-like, with no coding region annotated. NCBI's taxonomy places the organism in Eukaryota, Viridiplantae, Streptophyta, Magnoliopsida, Solanales, Convolvulaceae. The transcript is spliced from 5 exons. The record is from RefSeq and is a predicted model, not a curated record.